UACGAAGGGGGCUAGCGUUGCUCGGAAUUACUGGGCGUAAAGCGCACGUAGGCGGAUUGUUAAGUCGGGGGUGAAAUCCUGGAGCUCAACUCCAGAACUGCCUUCGAUACUGGCGAUCUCGAGUUCGGGAGAGGUGAGUGGAACUGCGAGUGUAGAGGUGAAAUUCGUAGAUAUUCGGAAGAACACCAGUGGCGAAGGCGACUCACUGGACAUGUAUUGACGCUGAGGUGCGAAAGCGUGGGGAGCAAACAGG
RNAcentral lists this ribosomal RNA (253 nucleotides) under uncultured bacterium. RNAcentral's name for it is "partial 16S ribosomal RNA". It matches the Rfam family "Bacterial small subunit ribosomal RNA", at positions 524 to 776 of the family's 1533-position model. The record is from RNAcentral.